CCUACGGGAGGCAGCAGUGGGGAAUCUUGCGCAAUGGACGAAAGUCUGACGCAGCGACGCCGCGUGUGGGAGGACGCCUUUCGGGGUGUAAACCACUGUUGCCCGGGACGAAUCUCCGCUUUCGAGCGGAUUGACGGUACCGGGUGAGGAAGCACCGGCUAACUCCGUGCCAGCAGCCGCGGUAAU
RNAcentral lists this ribosomal RNA (186 nucleotides) under uncultured Gemmatimonas sp. RNAcentral's name for it is "partial 16S ribosomal RNA". It matches the Rfam family "Bacterial small subunit ribosomal RNA", at positions 338 to 524 of the family's 1533-position model. Lineage: Bacteria; Pseudomonadati; Gemmatimonadota; Gemmatimonadia; Gemmatimonadales; Gemmatimonadaceae. The record is from RNAcentral.